Molecule: long non-coding RNA, 727 nt
Organism: Salvia hispanica
Lineage: Eukaryota; Viridiplantae; Streptophyta; Magnoliopsida; Lamiales; Lamiaceae
Source: RefSeq, a predicted model, not a curated record
GGUUAAACAUAAUGGAGGAGAAGAAGGGGUUCUCCGGCAGAAAACCGCCGCUCCAUCCCCGUGUCGGCUCAGCUCGGCAAUGGAUUUCCGAUCAACUUCGCUGUACUAAGAAGUAUAGGGUUGUAAAGAGCAGCGGUGAGGCGUUUGCGAUUAUGGUAAAGAGAGAGCACAGGGAAAUUGGUCAUAUAAAUAUACUUUAGAUAUCGCGGAAUUUGUUGCAAACAAGCUUCGAUCUACGCCGGCUCAUAAGCGGCGCCAAUUUGACGAUCAUCCUUUUCCCCUCCCAGAGGAUCUCAGUGUAUUACAUUGCAUUCGCAUUCUCGCUCCAACUUACCUGCAAAUUCAAGCACCGCUACUGGUGGCCUCAUCAUUUUACUCAUGAACUCGUUCAGAUUGAAGAAUUGUGAGGAUGCCUAAUGCUAAAUUUGGCAUGGUACAGACAACGGUGCAGCAGACGAACAAAACAUACAAGUAUUCUAGGUUGUUCAUCUUAGAGCCUUGGCUGGUUAUUAUACAAGGUCCAAUCUCACAUUGAACAAGCGGUUAGCCUCGUCCUUGUGUAACGAUUGAAUUGUGCACUUAGAUGCUGUAUCUUAUUCCAUUUAUUGUUGUUUUGUGAUUCUAUGGCAAAGAUGAUUUAUGUAAGUAUGCUCUUAAAGCGAAGAAUGAUGGGGUCCUGCCCAGACAUGCGCACUUAAUAAAGCCGAGGGUCGAAAGGCAAUUUUUA